Molecule: ribosomal RNA, 253 nt
Filed under: uncultured bacterium
Lineage: Bacteria
Description: partial 16S ribosomal RNA
Rfam family: Bacterial small subunit ribosomal RNA
Source: RNAcentral
UACGGAGGAUCCAAGCGUUAUCCGGAUUUAUUGGGUUUAAAGGGUGCGUAGGCGGCCUGUUAAGUCAGGGGUGAAAGACGGUAGCUCAACUAUCGCAGUGCCCUUGAUACUGAUGGGCUUGAAUGGACUAGAGGUAGGCGGAAUGAGACAAGUAGCGGUGAAAUGCAUAGAUAUGUCUCAGAACACCGAUUGCGAAGGCAGCUUACUAUGGUCUUAUUGACGCUGAGGCACGAAAGCGUGGGGAGCAAACAGG